RNAcentral lists this ribosomal RNA (1050 nucleotides) under Eurycope complanata. RNAcentral's name for it is "eukaryotic LSU rRNA". It matches the Rfam family "Eukaryotic large subunit ribosomal RNA", at positions 63 to 866 of the family's 3401-position model. The record is from RNAcentral. Lineage: Eukaryota; Metazoa; Arthropoda; Malacostraca; Isopoda; Munnopsidae.
AAUCAAACGAGAUUCCUCGAGUAACGGCGAGUGAAAGGGGAAGAGCUCAGCGUGUAGCCUCGGGGAUGCCCUCCAAGUGAGUGUGUUAAUCCUUCGAUGGGAUGCCACGUAUGGGAGAAUACUAGAAGAGUCUGCGGCCCGGCAAUCCGAACUGUUUGAUGAAACAUUGGCCAUAGAGGGUGUUAGCCCCGUAGGACCGUUGUUGUCGCGACUUUUCACGGUGUUCUCUCGAGAGUCGGGUUGUUUGAGAAUACAGCCUUAAGAGGUGGGAAACUCCAUCUAAAGCUAAAUAUUACUGCGAGACCGAUAGAAAACAAGUACCGUGAGGGAAAGUUGAAAAGGACUCUGAAGAGAGGGUUAAAGAGAGCGUGAAACUGCUACGGGGAUAAAGCGGAUACAUUAGCGUAGUCGAAAAGGGAGAUACAGCACGUUGGCAGUCGAUCUAUCGGCGUAUCGUACGUAAGGGAGCAUCCCGAAACGUUAGAUUGUGUUAAAGCUUUCUUCGUUUCGGUUCUUGGUUCUUCUCGUCACGUUCGCUUUUACGUUCGUACUCUAACGAGUCUAAAUCUCUCCUUAGUAGGCCGUCGCGACGGUUCGAGAGUUGUCGAAGGCUUGAGAAGGUUACGGGAACCCGUCGUUGUUCGUUGGAUUGAUUUAAUCUUUUUUUCGUUCGACGAUGGGGGACACUUCCUCGAAAUUACUGGCGGAUUCUCGGACCGGAGAAACAAACGUUGCGAUCUCGCUUUUUGCUUGAGAGGUAGACGUAAGUGCGACGCUAUAUAUGCGAAUAAUUUAUCCGUCCCGUCUUGAAACACGGACCAAGGAGUCUAACAUGUACGCGAGUCGAAGGGUCUACUAAACCCCCAGGCGUAAUGAAAGUGAAUUAUUUUAUGGAUUGAUCCGAUGCCCUCUGUGCGAGGCCGGCGCAAAUCCGGGACCCGUCUACUGCUUCUAUUUAUAGAUUUAUGUGGCGGGUACCUUGAGCGUACACGUUGGUACCCGAAAGAUGGUGAUCUAUGCUUGGCCGGGAUGAAGCCAGAGGAAACUCUG